CGGAGGGUGCGAGCGUUAAUCGGAAUAACUGGGCGUAAAGGGCACGCAGGCGGUUAUUUAAGUGAGGUGUGAAAGCCCCGGGCUUAACCUGGGAAUUGCAUUUCAGACUGGGUAACUAGAGUACUUUAGGGAGGGGUAGAAUUCCACGUGUAGCGGUGAAAUGCGUAGAGAUGUGGAGGAAUACCGAAGGCGAAGGCAGCCCCUUGGGAAUGUACUGACGCUCAUGUGCGAAAGCGUGGGGAGCAAACAGGAUU
RNAcentral lists this ribosomal RNA (254 nucleotides) under uncultured bacterium. Its description in RNAcentral is "partial 16S ribosomal RNA". It matches the Rfam family "Bacterial small subunit ribosomal RNA", at positions 526 to 779 of the family's 1533-position model. The record is from RNAcentral.